This 167-nucleotide ribosomal RNA is filed under the name uncultured bacterium. RNAcentral describes it as "partial 16S rRNA". It matches the Rfam family "Bacterial small subunit ribosomal RNA", at positions 352 to 511 of the family's 1533-position model. The record is from RNAcentral.
CAGUAGGGAAUCCUCCACAAUGGGCGAAAGCCUGAUGGAGCAACGCCGCGUGUGUGAUGAAGGGUUUCGGCUCGUAAAACACUGUUGUAAGAGAAGAAUGACAUUGAGAGUAACUGUUCAAUGUGUGACGGUAUCUUACCAGAAAGGAACGGCUAAAUACGUGCCAG